This 92-nucleotide non-coding RNA is filed under the name Nicotiana attenuata. Lineage: Eukaryota; Viridiplantae; Streptophyta; Magnoliopsida; Solanales; Solanaceae. The record is from RNAcentral.
GUCGAGCUUUGUAACGUAGGCUUGUGACCCAAGUGGGGGCAACAAUGUGGUGGAAUGUUGGGUUGAUCUGGAACAAAGCAAUUACCUUUUUU